Molecule: long non-coding RNA, 3569 nt
Organism: Felis catus (domestic cat)
Lineage: Eukaryota; Metazoa; Chordata; Mammalia; Carnivora; Felidae
Exons: 2
Source: RefSeq, a predicted model, not a curated record
UCCCAAGCAGACUCCAUGCUGUCAGCGCAGAGCCCGGCGUGGGGGCCGAUCUCACAAGCUGUGACAUCAUGACCUGGACCGAAAUCAAGAGUGGCCUGAGCCACAUCAACAAUUUUUUAAAACUAUUGUGAGUAAAAUAUGCAUCACAUGAAAUUUGCCAUCUCAACCAUUUUGAAGUGUACGGGUCAGUGGCAUUAAAUGUAUUCACGUUGUUGUGAAACCAUCACUGCCAUCCAUCUCCAGAAAUGUUGUCCGGAGAAGACACCCAAUGUCUUGUGGGUGUCUUGUCUCGACACCCAUUAGCCGACAACUCCCCACUCCUCCUCCCCCAGUCCCUGGCACCCACCAUUCUGCUUUCUGUCGCUAGGACUCUGACUACUCUAGGUACCCCAUACAAGUGCAAUCAUACGGUAUCUGUCUUUUUGUGACUGCCUUAUUUCACUUAGCGUCAUGUUCUCAAGGUUCAUUCAUGUGGCAUGUGUCAGAACGUUUCCUGCCUUCGUAAGGCUGGACAAUACUCCAUUGUACGUGCAGACCAUGUUUUGCUUAUCAGUUCAUCCACCGAAGGAUACUGGGUUGCUUCCACGCGUUGGCUAUUGUGAAUCAUGCUGCCUUGAGCACGGGUGUGCAAAUAUCUCAUCGAGUCCCUGCUUUCCAUUCUUUGGGGUAUAUGCCCAGAAGUGGAUGAGCAAUUGUAGAUCACUUUUCCUUUGAGGUGAACAACGGUUGUUUGUGGGUGGCAUCUGAGAAUUAUAUCACCUAUUGUUUUUAAAGGUUAUUUAUUUUGAGAGAGAGAGAGAGAGAGAGAGAAAGCAAGUAGGGGAGGGGCAGAGAGAGAGAGAAUCCCAAGUAGGCUCCGCACUGUCAGUGGAGAGCCUGACUUGGGGCUUGAACUCAUGAAGAAUCGUGAGAUCAUGACCUGAGCUGAAGUCAGACACUUAACUGACUGACGCCCCUGAAUUUUGUCACCUAUUAAGGUGUGCGGCCAUUGUCUGUUCACAUGGGUCUCUCCCCGCUGGACUGUAGGUUCCUGGUGGCCAGGGAACCGUGUUCAACAUUCCCACACCCUGAUGCCAUGGAGGGCCCACAGUCUGCCUUCUGAAAGGCUUAGAAUGGAACAAAUCUGGUCAGGACUGUUGCUGAGGGUGUGGUGCUGAGCCCUCCUGCCCCGGCUCGCGUGUAUUUUUAUACAUGGGGUUUUUCUGAUUUUGUUUGAAAGGGAAAAACCGUCCCUAAAAUAAUAACAAUAAUAAUAAUAAUAAAACGAAUAUAAUCCAGUUCCCUGUGGGAAAACCGGAAACCCACUGAGGGCUGGUGAUUUGCCAGGCAUCCUGGCAUAGUUGGUGGGCCAGCCAGGAUCCGAACCCAUGGUCCCCAUUCUCUAAUUGGCCUUGCUGCCACACGGCCUUCUCCACGAAAGGCGAUUGUCCUCUGUCGUUUCCCCCCUUGCUCUCUGCCUGUCUCCUCCCUCAGAAGACAGGGCAGACCCCUCCCCAGAGCCAGCCCCGGCUCUGGGUCGGGGCCCUGCCAGGUCGGGCAGCCCAGCAUGGAGUCGGUGGGGCUGCCAUAAACAGGGGAGUGUGCUUCCUUUCCCACAAGCUUUAAUGGAGCGAGGGGGGACUCAGCCCCCGGGUCUCUCCAGGCAACCCCAACGCAGGGUAGCUCAGCUGAUCUCCAGAUGGCCCAGCAAGAGGAAAACUUGAUGAAGGUCUUCAUUCUCUGAGGCCUUUCCUUCCCUGAGGAGAGGGUUCGCUUCCUGGGAAACCGUAGACGAGGCCGCGUGUGAGAGACAGAGGUCCAAGUUGUGGGGAGGGGUGUGUGUAAAUGCGCGUGUGAGAAAACCCAAGGCGCGGGGCAAGGGUGGGGUAGAGACGGAGGCAGCAGAGAGGAGAAGUGAUGCAAAGAAACCACCUUCCUCAGAGAGUUUUGGGGAGCUCAGUGUCCUGAAGAGAACUUGGAACUGUACCUGACACGGUAAGUGCCAUGUGGACGUUGUUGAUUAUUGCAGAGGUGGAGAGUGUGGUGGACGAGAGAGAGGAAGGGAAGGGGGGGGGUGGUGCGGGCAGGAGCUGGUCCCGGAAGCCCAGCAAUGCAAGGAAAGGUGGAAUCUGGGCGGGGCUCCCUUGUCUGGCCCUUCUCCCAUAAAGCUGACUCUGUUCCUCUUCCUCCCUCAUUGUAUUUUUAAAUCUAAAUAGCGCAGCCUCCAUUGUGUGAAGGAACACGAUUUUCUGGAUUCCCUGAAGCGCCUCAGCACACUGUACGUUGAGAGUCUGCCUGGCAACAGCCAUCUAGGUCCCAGGGAUGGUGACGGAGGGGCCUGGUGGCCACAUACCGCCUCAGCCCUGAUAGUAAAGAUUCCGCGGUGCGCCCGAGCCUUCCUGCCUGCCCUCCUACCCCUGUAAGCCCUCUGGGUCUCCUCCCAUCUUUGGCCGGAGGGAACCCCUUCCCAGAUUGUGUCGGAUUGAGGGUGAAGCCCACACAGCCCAGGGCUCCCUGGACGAGAUGGGUCCUGGCCCUUCCAGGCCCUGACGACGCUGUGCGGCUGGAGCUCCGUCCCCCACCUGUGCCUUGAGGCCCUGCCCCACUUUGUGAUGGCUCUGAAGGGUCAAGGGCGGGACCCGGGUCCACAGUGAUUUUCAGUCUGGGCCAUCACAGGGGGCCCUUUUGGGUUAACGUUUAAAAAAUGUGCUCUCCUCUCUCCGUGGAGGCUGAGAAGCGUCCCAAGGAGGGUUUCUACCCCAGCGGGGCCGGCUCCUGCGCUGGCGGCCUGGAAAACACUGCUGUCCCUGGCAUCGUCCUGGUGCCCGGAGCUGGUGGUGGCUGCAGGAACAGAACCUCAGCCCCAAGCAAAGGGCGGAUCACCAGGCCCAGUGACCGUCUGCGUCAGCCCCAUACCCUCUCAGGCUGCGGGAGAUCAUCCAGAAGCUUUCGGGCCUCUCAGCCCUGUGAUGUGAGAGGGCAGGACAUCUUCAAACGUAUGGCUGAGGACAUCAAGGUCCAGAGAAAAGAGUGAUGGGCAGAAGCCAGGGCGAGAAGCCAAUGGCCUGAUUUCUGGUCCUGGGCCAUUUCUACAAUUCAGUUCUGCCUCCCCCCACCACUCCGGUCUUGCUGAAAGGAUGUAUUCACCAAGAGGCUACUACUUACUGACUCAUUCAUUCAUUCCUUUCAUGAACCAUUAUGGAGCUCCAGGCACUGUUGUAUGUCUGGAAUACACAGCAGUGAAAAUCAAAGUGAAACAAAACCCAAACCAGCCCUUUCUGUUCAUGAUUAGGCCCUGUUAAGGGCAGUGCCGUGAUAAAGAGCUCAGAGGCUGGGGCCCGACUGCCUGGGUCUGAGUCCCAGCUCCCCUGGUCACCAGCAGUAGCCUCUCUGGCAAGUUUUUCAAACCUUCUGCGUCUCAGUGUCUUCAUCGGUAAGUCAAGGAUAAUUAUAGUACCUCCCUGAGGGCUGUUUAGUGCGGUGGACACGAGGGUACAAGUGUAUUCUCACGAGUACCUGAGUCGUCUCUGGCAUACAGCAAGCCCUCCAGAAAAGCUACUGGUGGGUCCAACCGAUCUUAUGGGGGGGCU